GUGUCAGCCGCCGCGGUAAUACGUAGGGUCCGAGCGUUGUCCGGAGUUACUGGGCGUAAAGCGUACGCAGGCGGCGGCAUUGGCCCGGCGUGAAAGCCCCCGGCUCAACCGGGGAGGGUCGUCGGGGACCGUGCCGCUUGAGGGCAGCAGGGGUUGGUGGAAUGCCCGGUGUAGUGGUGAAAUGCGUAGAGAUCGGGCGGAACACCCGUGGCGAAGGCGGCCAACUGGGCUGACCCUGACGCUGAGGUACGAAGGCGUGGGGAGCGAACGGGAUUAGAUACCCCCGUAGUCC
This 292-nucleotide ribosomal RNA is filed under the name uncultured bacterium. RNAcentral's name for it is "partial 16S ribosomal RNA". It matches the Rfam family "Bacterial small subunit ribosomal RNA", at positions 505 to 796 of the family's 1533-position model. The record is from RNAcentral.